Molecule: ribosomal RNA, 1450 nt
Filed under: uncultured Bacteroides sp.
Lineage: Bacteria; Pseudomonadati; Bacteroidota; Bacteroidia; Bacteroidales; Bacteroidaceae
Description: 16S ribosomal RNA
Rfam family: Bacterial small subunit ribosomal RNA
Source: RNAcentral
GAUGAACGCUAGCUACAGGCUUAACACAUGCAAGUCGAGGGGCAGCAUUUUAGUUUGCUUGCAAACUAAAGAUGGCGACCGGCGCACGGGUGAGUAACACGUAUCCAACCUGCCGAUAACUCGGGGAUAGCCUUUCGAAAGAAAGAUUAAUAUCCGAUAGUAUAUUAAAACCGCAUGGUUUUACUAUUAAAGAAUUUCGGUUAUCGAUGGGGAUGCGUUCCAUUAGUUUGUUGGCGGGGUAACGGCCCACCAAGACUACGAUGGAUAGGGGUUCUGAGAGGAAGGUCCCCCACAUUGGAACUGAGACACGGUCCAAACUCCUACGGGAGGCAGCAGUGAGGAAUAUUGGUCAAUGGACGAGAGUCUGAACCAGCCAAGUAGCGUGAAGGAUGACUGCCCUAUGGGUUGUAAACUUCUUUUAUAUGGGAAUAAAGUAUUCCACGUGUGGAAUUUUGUAUGUACCAUAUGAAUAAGGAUCGGCUAACUCCGUGCCAGCAGCCGCGGUAAUACGGAGGAUCCGAGCGUUAUCCGGAUUUAUUGGGUUUAAAGGGAGCGUAGGUGGAUUGUUAAGUCAGUUGUGAAAGUUUGCGGCUCAACCGUAAAAUUGCAGUUGAAACUGGCAGUCUUGAGUACAGUAGAGGUGGGCGGAAUUCGUGGUGUAGCGGUGAAAUGCUUAGAUAUCACGAAGAACUCCGAUUGCGAAGGCAGCUCACUAGACUGCAACUGACACUGAUGCUCGAAAGUGUGGGUAUCAAACAGGAUUAGAUACCCUGGUAGUCCACACAGUAAACGAUGAAUACUCGCUGUUUGCGAUAUACAGUAAGCGGCCAAGCGAAAGCAUUAAGUAUUCCACCUGGGGAGUACGCCGGCAACGGUGAAACUCAAAGGAAUUGACGGGGGCCCGCACAAGCGGAGGAACAUGUGGUUUAAUUCGAUGAUACGCGAGGAACCUUACCCGGGCUUAAAUUGCAUUUGAAUAAUCUGGAAACAGGUUAGCCGCAAGGCAAAUGUGAAGGUGCUGCAUGGUUGUCGUCAGCUCGUGCCGUGAGGUGUCGGCUUAAGUGCCAUAACGAGCGCAACCCUUAUCUUUAGUUACUAACAGGUUAUGCUGAGGACUCUAGAGAGACUGCCGUCGUAAGAUGUGAGGAAGGUGGGGAUGACGUCAAAUCAGCACGGCCCUUACGUCCGGGGCUACACACGUGUUACAAUGGGGGGUACAGAAGGCAGCUACCUGGCGACAGGAUGCUAAUCCCAAAAACCUCUCUCAGUUCGGAUCGAAGUCUGCAACCCGACUUCGUGAAGCUGGAUUCGCUAGUAAUCGCGCAUCAGCCAUGGCGCGGUGAAUACGUUCCCGGGCCUUGUACACACCGCCCGUCAAGCCAUGAAAGCCGGGGGUACCUGAAGUACGUAACCGCAAGGAGCGUCCUAGGGUAAAACUGGUAAUUGGGGC